This 262-nucleotide ribosomal RNA is filed under the name uncultured bacterium. RNAcentral describes it as "partial 16S ribosomal RNA". It matches the Rfam family "Bacterial small subunit ribosomal RNA", at positions 793 to 1055 of the family's 1533-position model. The record is from RNAcentral.
GUCCACGCCGUAAACGGUGGGAACUAGUUGUAGGGGCCAUUCCACGGCUUCUGUGACGAAGCUAACGCAUUAAGUUCCCCGCCUGGGGAGUACGGUCGCAAGACUAAAACUCAAAGGAAUUGACGGGGGCCCGCACAAGCGGCGGAGCAUGCGGAUUAAUUCGAUGCAACGCGAAGAACCUUACCAAGGCUUGACAUAUAGAGGAAACGUGCAGAGAUGUACGCCCCGCAAGGUCUCUAUACAGGUGGUGCAUGGUUGUCAG